CCUUGUACACACCGCCCGUCAAGUCAUGGAAGCCGGUAGAGCCCAAAGUCGCCACAUUUCAGUGGUGCCUACGGCAAGAUCGGUGACUGGGACU
RNAcentral lists this ribosomal RNA (94 nucleotides) under uncultured bacterium. RNAcentral describes it as "partial 16S ribosomal RNA". The record is from RNAcentral.